RNAcentral lists this transfer RNA (72 nucleotides) under Capra hircus (goat). It matches the Rfam family "tRNA". Rfam says of the family: Transfer RNA (tRNA) molecules are approximately 80 nucleotides in length. Their secondary structure includes four short double-helical elements and three loops (D, anti-codon, and T loops). Lineage: Eukaryota; Metazoa; Chordata; Mammalia; Artiodactyla; Bovidae. The record is from Rfam by way of RNAcentral. RNAcentral also lists the same sequence under 1 other name.
UCCCUGACAGUCCAGGGGUCAAGACUCUGCGCUUCCAGUGCAGGGGGCUCAGGUUCGAUCCUGGUAGGGGAA